GUUGAUAUGGUUCCUGGCAAGCCCA
This 25-nucleotide non-coding RNA is filed under the name Cricetulus griseus (Chinese hamster). Lineage: Eukaryota; Metazoa; Chordata; Mammalia; Rodentia; Cricetidae. The record is from RNAcentral.